Anopheles dirus is the source of this 45-nucleotide non-coding RNA. Lineage: Eukaryota; Metazoa; Arthropoda; Insecta; Diptera; Culicidae. The record is from Rfam.
ACAUUGGCCUUCUUGAAGGCCACUCAAACAAUGAUAAACAUCAUG